Molecule: ribosomal RNA, 579 nt
Filed under: uncultured bacterium
Lineage: Bacteria
Description: bacterial SSU rRNA
Rfam family: Bacterial small subunit ribosomal RNA
Source: RNAcentral
CCUACGGGAGGCAGCAGUAAGGAAUAUUGGACAAUGCUCGCAAGAGUGAUCCAGCCAUGCCGCGUGCAGGAAGAAUGCCCUAUGGGUAGUAAACUGCUUUUGAACUAGAGAAAACCCCAGUACGUGUACUGGGCUGAUAGUAUAGUUAGAAUAAGCAUCGGCUAACUUCGUGCCAGCAGCCGCGGUAAGACGAAGGAUGCAAGCGUUAUCCGGAUUCAUUGGGUUUAAAGGGAGCGUAGGUGGACUGAUAAGUCAGUGGUGAAAUCUCCGAGCUUAACUCGGAAAUUGCCAUUGAUACUGUUGGUCUUGAGUACAGUUGCUGUGGGCGGAAUAUGACAUGUAGUGGUGAAAUACAUAGAGAUGUCAUAGAACACCGAUUGCGAAGGCAGCUCACAAAGCUGUAACUGACACUGAGGCUCGAAAGUGCGGGGAUCAAACAGGAUUAGAUACCCUGGUAGUCCGCACCGUAAACGAUGAUUACUCGCUGCUAGGGGGCAACCUUUAGUGGCUUAGCGAAAGCGAUAAGUAAUCCACCUGGGGAGUACGCCGGCAACGGUGAAACUUAAAUAGAAUUGACGG